This 233-nucleotide ribosomal RNA is filed under the name uncultured bacterium. RNAcentral describes it as "partial 16S ribosomal RNA". It matches the Rfam family "Bacterial small subunit ribosomal RNA", at positions 521 to 753 of the family's 1533-position model. The record is from RNAcentral.
UAAUACGUAGGGGGCGAGCGUUGUCCGGAUUUAUUGGGCGUAAAGAGCUCGUAGGCGGCUGUUCGAGUCGGGUGUGAAACCCCAGGGCUUAACUCUGGGCCUGCAUUCGAUACUGGGCGGCUUGAGUCUGGUAGGGGGAUCUGGAAUUCCUGGUGUAGCGGUGGAAUGCGCAGAUAUCAGGAGGAACACCGGUGGCGAAGGCGGGAUCCUGGGCCAGUACUGACGCUGAGGAG